UGGGGAAUAUUGCGCAAUGGGCGAAAGCCUGACGCAGCAACGCCGCGUGAGUGAUGAAGGCCUUCGGGUCGUAAAGCUCUUUUUACCAGGGACGAUAAUGACGGUACCUGGAGAAUAAGCCCCGGCAAACUUCGUGCCAGCAGCCGCGGUAAGACAGGGGAUACAAGUAUUACUCGGAAUUACUGGGCGUAAAGCGUCUGUAGGCGACCAAGCAAGUCGGGGGUGAAAGUCCAAAGCUCAACUUUGUGAUUGCCCUGGAAACUGCUUGGAUUGAGCCACUGAGAGGCACCUGGAAUGCCAUGUGGAGGAGUAAAAUCCGUAGAGACAUGGUGGAACGCCAAAAGCGAAGGCAGGGUGCUAGCGGUCGGCUGACGCUGAGAGACGAAAGCGUGGGGAGCAAAGGGGAUUAGAUACCCUGGUAGUCCCUGAGCGGGCUGGCAAGGCGCAU
This 448-nucleotide ribosomal RNA is filed under the name uncultured bacterium. RNAcentral describes it as "bacterial SSU rRNA". It matches the Rfam family "Bacterial small subunit ribosomal RNA", at positions 355 to 825 of the family's 1533-position model. The record is from RNAcentral.